Molecule: long non-coding RNA, 428 nt
Organism: Acinonyx jubatus (cheetah)
Lineage: Eukaryota; Metazoa; Chordata; Mammalia; Carnivora; Felidae
Exons: 3
Source: RefSeq, a predicted model, not a curated record
AGGUUGGAGCUCUCAUGAGUGGGAGCUCUCAUUAAUGGCUUUAUAAAAGAGAUCCUGAAGAGCUCCCUUGUGAGGACACAGCAAGAAGAGAACUACCAGGAAGUGGACUCACCAGACAUAGAAUCUGUCCACACCCUAACCUCAGACUUCCCAGCAUCCAGAACUAUGAGAAAUCAAGUGCUGUACUCCUGGCACCCAGAACAAUGUCUGGCACAAAGCAGAUGAUUGAAAAUGUACAAAAAUCAAUGGACAUGCCAGAACUUUGGAGCACCAGAUGAGCAGUUCUAGUUUCAAGAGAGGAAAACAACUCACUCAGGAGGAUUCAUAAAUAGCUGCCUUUAACCUCCACUUCUGCUUUGUGUGUAGCUUUGCCCAAGUGGCCAUGUCCUGCUCUAUGGCUCACAUUUGUGUCCAUUACCCCUGGAGUC